AAAUUGAAGAGUUUGAUCAUGGCUCAGAUUGAACGCUGGCGGCAGGCCUAACACAUGCAAGUCGAACGGUAACAGGAAGCAGCUUGCUGCUUCGCUGACGAGUGGCGGACGGGUGAGUAAUGUCUGGGAAACUGCCUGAUGGAGGGGGAUAACUACUGGAAACGGUAGCUAAUACCGCAUAACGUCGCAAGACCAAAGAGGGGGACCUUCGGGCCUCUUGCCAUCGGAUGUGCCCAGAUGGGAUUAGCUAG
This 251-nucleotide ribosomal RNA is filed under the name Escherichia coli. RNAcentral's name for it is "partial 16S ribosomal RNA". It matches the Rfam family "Bacterial small subunit ribosomal RNA", at positions 1 to 248 of the family's 1533-position model. Lineage: Bacteria; Pseudomonadati; Pseudomonadota; Gammaproteobacteria; Enterobacterales; Enterobacteriaceae. The record is from RNAcentral.